Molecule: ribosomal RNA, 451 nt
Filed under: Salmo trutta fario
Lineage: Eukaryota; Metazoa; Chordata; Actinopteri; Salmoniformes; Salmonidae
Description: partial 16S ribosomal RNA
Source: RNAcentral
CCUUAAUAGCGGCUGCACCAUUAGGAUGUCCUGAUCCAACAUCGAGGUCGUAAACCCCCUCGUCGAUAGGGACUCUGGGAGAGGAUUGCGCUGUUAUCCCUAGGGUAACUCGGUCCGUUGAUCGGCGUUCGCCGGAUCAUUUUUGGUCAGAAAUUCUGGUGCUUAGAGUUGUGGCUCUUGGUUGUGGGGGCAGUGCCCCCAGUCCACAUGGGGGCUUUGUUUUCCCCCGCGGUCGCCCCAACCAAAGACAUAGGGGCUAGGGGUCACUGUGUUUUUACUUGUUAAUUCAAGGUUACUUGACGUGAUCUGCCUGGUGUCUAAAGCUCCAUAGGGUCUUCUCGUCUUAUGUAUUUAUGUCCGCUUCUGCACGGGCAGAUCAAUUUCAUUGACUUGGAAGAGGAGACNGCUAAGCCCUCGUGAUGCCAUUCAUACAGGUCUUCAUUUAAAAGAC